This 221-nucleotide long non-coding RNA is filed under the name Elaeis guineensis (African oil palm). RNAcentral describes it as "long non-coding RNA (EGUI_LNC062380)". The record is from RNAcentral. Lineage: Eukaryota; Viridiplantae; Streptophyta; Magnoliopsida; Arecales; Arecaceae.
UGAUUACAAUGGUUCGAUUGCAUCGAAAAGGUAUAACCACUCUAUUGACAUUUGAUGUCUCGAGAUAGAGAUGGGAUUAGACUCAAUAACUGUUAGAUGAGGAUCCCAAUGAUGGUUUUGUAUCUGCUGGUGAAUGAUGGGUCUGACUUAACUAAGAAAUGUGCCAAUAAUUGUUAGGUGAGGCCACAGGAUUUAGAGACCAAGCACACCGCAUCUUGCUU